UACAGAGGUCUCAAGCGUUGUUCGGAUUCAUUGGGCGUAAAGGGUGCGUAGGCGGCGCGGUAAGUCGGGUGUGAAAUCUUGGAGCUUAACUCCGAAACUGCAUUCGAUACUGCCGUGCUUGAGGACUGGAGAGGAGACUGGAAUUUACGGUGUAGCGGUGAAAUGCGUAGAUAUCGUAAGGAACACCAGUGGCGAAGGCGGCUACCUGGACCAGCACUGACACUGAGGCACGAAAGCGUGGGGAGCAAACAGG
This 253-nucleotide ribosomal RNA is filed under the name uncultured bacterium. Its description in RNAcentral is "partial 16S ribosomal RNA". It matches the Rfam family "Bacterial small subunit ribosomal RNA", at positions 524 to 776 of the family's 1533-position model. The record is from RNAcentral.